AUUGAACGCUGGCGGAAUGCUUUACACAUGCAAGUCGAACGAUGAACCUUAGCUUGCUAAGGGGAUUAGUGGCGAACGGGUGAGUAAUAUAUCGGAACGUGCCUUGUAAUGGGGGAUAACUAGUCGAAAGAUUAGCUAAUACCGCAUACGCCCUGAGGGGGAAAGUAGGGGAUCUUCGGACCUUACGUUAUAAGAGCGGCCGAUAUCUGAUUAGCUAGUUGGUGGGGUAAUGGCCUACCAAGGCGACGAUCAGUAGCUGGUCUGAGAGGACGACCAGCCACACUGGAACUGAGGCACGGUCCCGACUCCUACGGGGGGCAGCAGUGGGGAAUUUUGGACAAUGGGCGCAAGCCUGAUCCAGCCCUUCCGCGUGAGUGAAGAAGGCCUUCGGGUUGUAAAGCUCUUUCGCUAGGGAAGAAAACUUACCAGCGAAUAAAUGGUGAGGCUGACGGUACCUUGAUAAGAAGCACCGGCUAACUACGUG
Molecule: ribosomal RNA, 484 nt
Filed under: uncultured bacterium
Lineage: Bacteria
Description: partial 16S ribosomal RNA
Rfam family: Bacterial small subunit ribosomal RNA
Source: RNAcentral